GACGAACGCUGGCGGCGUGCUUAACACAUGCAAGUCGAACGGUGAAGCGCCUUCCUUUUUGGUGGGUGUGGAUGAGUGGCGAACGGGUGAGUAACACGUGAGUAACCUGCCCCCUUCUUCUGGAUAACCGCAUGAAAGUGUGGCUAAUACGGGAUAUUCUGGGUCUGUCGCAUGAUGGGUCUGGGAAAGAUAUUGUUUCGGUGGGGGAUGGGCUCGCGGCCUAUCAGCUUGUUGGUGGGGUGAUGGCCUACCAAGGCGGUGACGGGUAGCCGGCCUGAGAGGGUGGACGGUCACACUGGGACUGAGACACGGCCCGGACUCCUACAGGAGGCAGCAGUGGGGAAUAUUGAACAAUGGGCGAAAGCCUGAUGCAGCGGCGCCGCGUGAGGGAUGGAGGCCUUCGGGUUGUGAACCUCUUUCGCCAGUGAAGCAGGCCUGCCUCGUUUGUGGGUGGGUUGACGGUAGCUGGAUAAGAAGCGCCGGCUAACUACGUG
This 494-nucleotide ribosomal RNA is filed under the name uncultured bacterium. Its description in RNAcentral is "partial 16S ribosomal RNA". It matches the Rfam family "Bacterial small subunit ribosomal RNA", at positions 28 to 507 of the family's 1533-position model. The record is from RNAcentral.